UGUGUGUGUGAAUUCUAUUUAGAUUUCAGACAUGCUUCUACAAUAAAGAGGACACUGGCAUUACCGCAUUUACUUCACUGAAUUUCCUAUGCUGGACCAGAGUCAAGGCAUAAAUGAAGGGAGACGCGUGCUACCUUCAUGAAAGCAUGGGAACAUGCGCUCAGCUGACACGGGUGCUUCCACUGGCCUGAGCACCUCAUCUGAUCUCCAGGUCACAUGUGUUGUCAUCACCUGACCUCCACACGUGCACCACUAUAUUAACAUGCCCAUACCCAUAAAAUACAAGAUGAAAACUCAACUGCUGGGUAAAAGAAAUGAGCAUCCCUAUUCACACACACUAACUGCGAUCACAAUGGAUCACUGCACACACAUCUAGAAGAAAAUAUAGAGGAAAAAUAUUCUCAACCUGAAAGUAACAUAACUUUUUACAUAGUGCAUUAGAAACUGAUAAAUAGGCUUGGUCAAAACUUAAAAAUCAACACUGUUAGGAAAACACAAAAACAACAACAAAAACUACAUGCUAUAAGAGAGUAUUGCCGUUAUCUAGAUUUAACAAAAGUACUGUAUCAAAGCAUAUGAGGAGCUCUCAAAACUCAGUAAAGACUUCAUUUUUAAAAUAAGUUAUUUAAAUGAUAUCUCAUCAAAAGAUGACAUACAAAGGACCAAGAAGUGUGUGAAAAUCUGCCCAAGAUAUUUCAGAGUGAGAAAAUGCUCACUGACAUCACAGUAUGCUAUCACACGCUCACUAAAGGGCAUGAAUUGAAAAUGCUGACAAAGCAAAUAUUGGCAAGAACAGGGACAAAAUCAACUCCCCUCCCCUGUGGUAAAACACAUACAAUGAUCCUGGGAAAUGGUUUGGCAAUUUCUCAAAAACGGCACUUCCAGGUAUAUAAUUGUUGAGAAGGAAAAUGAAAGCCUGGGGUCUGGGGAUGCAGCUCUGGGAGGAGCUUUGCUUAGCACACGUCACGUCCUAAGCUCAAUGCACAGCUCCACAGAGUCCAACAGCCAGGUAAAAUCAAAUCAUAGCUAAGAACUGAAAACAUGGCCACAGGAGGAAUCCUCACAGAGUAUUUAUAUGGGAGCUUUAUUCACAAGAACUUAGGACAGGAAUAAACUCUCUGUAGAACCAGGACUUUUAUUUCUGUUAUUCAACAUUAAGAACUCUCAAUAGCUCCAACAACAUGGCUGAAAACAUGCUGAACAAAAAAAGUAUACAGUGUAUUUUUUUAUACAAAAUUGUAACUAGGGUAACUGGCUUUAAAGCAUAGGGGACCUCUUUGGUGUGAUAAAAGCAUGUUUAAUCUAGAUUGUAAUAAUGCUGACUACAAGAAUAUACACAUUCCAUCAAACUAUACACUGAGACUGAAUAUACUUUAUGUAACAUGAAUCAUGUUAUUUUAAAAACUGAUUUCCCGGGGCUGAAGAGACUGCUCAGUAGUCAAGACCACUUGUUACUCUUGCAGAGGAACCAGGUUCUGUCCCCAGCACUCAUGGAGCAGCAAAUAACCUGCUCCAAUAUUGGAGAGAUCCAAUAUCCACUCCUGGCCACUGGAUGAAACAGGAAAUAAGGUGAUGCGCACACAUGCAUUCAAGCAAAAGACACACAAAAUAAAAGUAAACAAUGACGUGGUUUCCCUUAAAUAUUCUGCAUAUUUCAUAAUACCAAUUUAAGUAAUAAGUAUUUUUCCUUUGAUUCAUGUGUACUGGCAUAAAAAAUAAAUUUCUACUACACAAAUUUAUAUUUAUUUGUAUAUACUAAUUUAGUAUUAUUGUGUCUAUACUAAUUUUGUAUUGUAAUGGCAAAAAUGAAUAACUAAUAUUGAGAUAGGAUACAAGUCUAAAAUAUUCACUUUCUGAAACAUUAUAUUAAAUAUUUCCAAAUCCCUGAGCAGUGCCUCUUUAGUCUAGAAACUACUUGUGGCAAACUCUAUUUUCCAGAUAAAGCUGCUAUUAUAUUUUCCAUAUUGCAUGCUCUUCUGCAAUGUGACCUUGCUACUCACACCCUCACCACAACACGGUUUUUCUUUGCCUCUCUUUGAAUCUGGCUCAUCCUGGUGACUUAUGUGGCCACUAUUAUAUAUGGAAGCGACUUCAAAGACCUCAGGCACUAAAGCAAAGGAAACAGCACAGCCUCUUCCUGCUCUCUCGGGAUGCUCUGUAAUGAAGUAUUACUUCCAAGAAUUGAGUACCAUGCUUUAGCCACAUGAAGAAGCUAAGAACAAGCCUUUCUGUCCAUAGCUCCAGGAAGGCCCAACUCAACAGGUAGGAGCCACAGCUACUCUGGACCUCUGGCUCACAUGAGCCUUAAAAAUAGCUACAGAAAUCUGGCUAUAACUGCUUAUGAGAUCUAAGGAUGGGAGCAAUAAGUGGGGCUUGCUUAACCCAAAGAACAGUGAAAGCAGUGCACACUGAUUUUAAGACGCUGUGUUUGGGGGUAUAAAAUAGUAAUAAUAACAUGAUCAAAAAUAAGCCUAGGGAAGUCCAGAUGAGAAAUUGCAGACUCUGAGUGAGGCAAGGCUAGGCUGGGCCACCUGUGUGUUUUUCCCUAGGCCAGACCCUACAAAAAGUCUUUCUUCAAUCUCUAGUGGCCAGGAUGGAGGAAAUGGCUAAAGUUACAACAGCUAAGACUGUGAUUUCUCGGUCCAUAUACAUUCUCAGCAGGCUUGCUGCUGCCCCAAAUGUGUGCCAAGCCCUGAAUUUUAAGUACGUGCUUAAUUCGUAAUGACAAGAGGGAUACAAUUUUAUUUUCAUGCUGUAGAGAAAUUGAUGCUAGAGCAACUUGUCAUUACUACAUAACCUUUAAAGAUGACAAUUCAACUUCAAUCUGAUGUUCUAAAGCCAUCGGCAUACGGACACUUACCAGUUCCAUGAUAAAUCUGCACUUUGUAAUUAAUGUCUCCCACGCUACUGCUCUUUUGAGUCACCUGAUCUUGCUCAGAAAAAUGACAAGCAAGAGUUGUUCACUGACAUAUUUCUGGCAUACCAGAAA
Long non-coding RNA from Mus musculus (house mouse), 2989 nucleotides. RefSeq annotates it as predicted gene, 52895. The record is from RefSeq and is a predicted model, not a curated record. The transcript is spliced from 2 exons. NCBI's taxonomy places the organism in Eukaryota, Metazoa, Chordata, Mammalia, Rodentia, Muridae.